CUAUGCCCAAAGAACCUGCCGCCCGGAAGCAACAACUUCCAUCAAACGGCAAAGAAAAGUUCCUAGGGAGAGAGCUUAGCGCCCAAGCAGCCUGCGCUAGUGCCGAGACAGAACAGGAGAGCAGCAGACAGUGCAGGCCGGGCCAGCCUGCAGGCGGUGGCUGCGGCGGCGCUGGUAGGGCAGACCCGGGCUCCGGAAGGCUCCAGGUCCGGGGGUGGCCGCCGGCCUUGGGCACAGUGCCGGCUUUCGCACCCCUCCCCACGACCGCGAGCAGUGGGCGGAGAGAUUAGAGCAAAGGAAAAGACGGACAAUGCCUGGCCGGGCCGGCGACCUCCGUGCGGCCCCCGCCGGCCCGUCCCUACUCGGGCGGCCAGCUACCGGGCUAAGUUUCCUAAGCCCUGCCUCCAGCCCCGGCGGCGAAAGCUCGGCCGCCGCCUUCCUCCCAGCCGGGCGGUUCCCGCGAGUCUGCGAGGAGGAGGCAGCGUGCGAGCCGAGCCGGGCGCGCAAGGAGGCGGCGCGCGAGGUAAGCGGACGCGCGGGGAGCCGGCGGCGCGCGCCGAAUGAGGCCGGGCGCGCGCGGGGGGACCCGGCACGAAGAGGAAGGAGCGCGGUGGGGAGUUGGGAGCGCGGGGCUCCCCCGGGACCCCCCGCAGCUCCGACGGGGUUUCAGUUGACUCGGACUGCACCGCAGCGAGAGUCCGUUAGGAGUCUCCGCCUGGGCGCGCAGCUGGCCGACCAUCCCGGCCCGCCUCCCCCUCGCUCCCACCAGGAAGGGCAGCCGGGCGAGAGCCAGUGACCUCUCCUCCCGCCAGAGAAAAGAUUCCCUACAACAGAGAGUCACCUAGACAUGAAAGAAAUUCUGCUUCUACAACAAUUGACAAAAAGUAGACAGAUUCAUGUUUGACCACACUGGAUACUGGAUCAAGAUGCUGGAGAUAGACCUGAGAUUAAAGAACAAAGAAAUCUUAUCCACUAAACAGUAUUGAUUAGAACCAAAAUAUUUUGUCAUUGGAGGCCUUAUGUUACCCUUAAAAAUAAACUUUCGGAUAUUUUGGAUUUUUUUUUUUUGGCUUUUUGUGUGUGUGUGUGUGUGUGUGUGUGUGUGUGUGUGUGUGUGUUACUGGAAACUGAACCCAGGUGCACUCUACCACUGAGCUACAUCCCUAGAUUUUUCAUUCUUAAAUGGCCUUGCUAACUUGCACAAGCUGGCCUUGAAAUUGUAAUCCACCUGCCUUAACCUUCUGAGUAGCUCAUUACAGACAUUUACCACUGCUUCCAGCUUGCUUUGCAUUUUAAUUAGAAAGCUGGACAAACCAUUUGUCAUUGUUCACCAGGAAUAGUUCUACAUUAAGAGCCUAGGCUAAAUCACUCAUC
This 1374-nucleotide long non-coding RNA is filed under the name Heterocephalus glaber (naked mole-rat). RNAcentral describes it as "lncRNA (ENSHGLG00000043716.1)". Lineage: Eukaryota; Metazoa; Chordata; Mammalia; Rodentia; Bathyergidae. The record is from RNAcentral.